Molecule: transfer RNA, 75 nt
Filed under: Desulfotomaculum sp.
Lineage: Bacteria; Bacillati; Bacillota; Clostridia; Eubacteriales; Desulfotomaculaceae
Description: tRNA-Asn
Rfam family: tRNA
About the family: Transfer RNA (tRNA) molecules are approximately 80 nucleotides in length.
Source: RNAcentral
UCCUCGAUAGCCCAACGGUGGAGCGUCCGCCUGUUGACCGGAGGGUUGCAGGUUCGAAUCCUGCUCGCGGAGCCG